AAAAACAGUAGCACGUACAGUAUAGUAGUAAUAUAAUACAUUGUGUUCAAGAUCACUGGUACGAGACAGAGAAAUGGAUACCUAAUUCGAGGUGUGUAAAGUCCAUGUAUUGGCCGAUGGGAAAAGGAAAUGCCCAGAUUUUUUUAUACUGCUGCCUCUUGUUGAGGGUCACCAGGUAGCUGGAACCUUCACAUGCUUUACAAACAAAGUUACUCUUCGUAAUUAGUUAGUCAAUAAGAAGUUGAGACUAUUACUCUUUGAAAAAACAAUUUUAACAAGUUAAAAUAUUAAAAUCCUUGUCUGUGCUUUUUUUAAAAAAUACCCUGAGGGUCAAGAGUUGCAGUACCCACUACACCCCAUUUUUAAUGCUGCUUUUACACCAGACAAAGAAAACUUUCUCUCAAUGUUACUCGUGAGUGUUUGACCAUGUUAGUUGUGUACACAAUGGGUACAGAAAGUAUUCAUACGCCCUUGGAAUUUUCACCCAAAAGUUUUCACACCCUUUGCUAUGGAUUUAGUAGAAGCACACUUUGGAGCUCAUGCAGCCAUCAAUCUUUGGAAUUAUGUGACAAGUUUUACACACCUGCAUUUGCGCAUUUGGGGAUUCUCUGCCAUUCCACCGUGCAAAUCCCCUGCAGUCUUGUUCGGUUGGAUGGUGAAUGUUGCUCAACAGCUAUUUUCAGGGACCUCCAGGGAUACUCAAUUGGGAUUAAGUCAGGGUACAAGCUGGGCCAUUCACAAACCGUAACGGGGUUAUUCUGAAGCUACUCCUUCGUUAUUUUACCUGUGAGCUUCAAUUGUGUCGCUACGACUAGAAAAGGCAAAGAGACCACAGGGUGGAGUUUCCUCUGCCUUUUUAGGCCAUUUCCAGUAGCCAUUUUUACUUUCCUUUUCUAAGCAACAAAGCAACAACAAUGGUGACCAUGGAACAGUGUCUGCUAGAACCUAGCUAAUCAGAAGACAUUUAAUUAUGCCACAUUAUCGAUCAAGAAAGCGGCAUACAUUGUAUGUGGAACCGAGAGGAACACUGAGUAUGUCGCUAUAGCAUGUGACUGAAAUGGACCAAUUGCAAGAGAUGAUCUCCACAGCAUUCUACACACAGCAACAUUAUUUGCCGUGUCAGCAUUAAGCAACGCAGAGGGCCUGGGCCAAUGUGUGGGUCACAUUACGCAAUGUCAAAUACAAAGAGACUUUUAGAAUUAAGGCCAAAAAAUUCUGUCUUGGUCUCAUCAGAGGAUGAAACAAAAUCUUAAUUCUCCCCAUAUUUGACUCCUUCAGGGGUUUUAUAGCAUACUUCACGCUGCCUUUCACCUCUUGCACAGAGGAGAGACUUCCCAUUGGCCACUUUCGCAAAAAGCCCCAACUUCUGGAUGGCUACAGUGAUGGUUGACUUUCUAAACCUCCCUCCCAUCUCCUGACUGUAUCUCUGGAGCUCAGCCACAGUGAUCUUUGCACUCUUCUUGAUCUCUUUCACAAAGGGUCUUCUCCCACAAUUACUCAGUGUGGCCGGACGGCCUGUUCCAGGAACGGUUGUGGUUGUCCCAAAUGUCUUCCAUUUAAGCAUUAUAGUGGUAUUAGGAACCUUAAGUGGAGCAGAAAUCUUUUUCUAUCAUUAACCAGAUCUGUGUCUUGACACAAUUCUGUCUGAACUUUUCAGUGAGUUCAUUUGACCUCGUGAUUUUCAUCUGCUCCGACAUGAACUGUGAGCUGUAACAUCUUACAUAGACUGGUGUGUGGUUUUCCUAAUCAAGUCCAAUCACUUUAAUCAAACACAGCUGGACUGAAUGAAGGUGUAUAACCAAUUCAAGGAUGAUUAGAAGAAAUGGACAGCACCUGAGUCAAAUAUGAUUGUCACACCAAAGGUUCUGAAUACUUAUGGCCGGGAGAUAUUUAAGUUUUUCUUUUUAAUAAAUCUACAAACUUUUCAACAAUUCCAUUUUUGUCAAAAUGGGCUGCAGUGUGUACAUUGAGGAAAUAAAAUAACUUAAAUGAUUUUAGCAAAUGGCUGCAACAUAACAGUAACGAAUUAAAAGGUGUCUGAAUACUUUCCGUACCCACUGUACACUGAACGUGAAUUGACUUCAUUCACACCACACCUACCGGAAAAAAAUAUUUACUUGGUAGAUAUCAACACCAUUUUUUAUAUUUCUUGAUUGAGGGACUGUCCCGUUGAAGCCAGUUUACAUACACAGUGCAAAAACAUUUCAUUUUUUUGUCUUACUGUCUGAAGUCAAAUCAGACUAUCCCUCCCCCUUUUCAGGUCAAUCAGGAUCAGGAUUUCCUCAAUACCACAAUAAUAGAGAAUUUCUUAAAGGAUUUUACAUUUUUUUUAGGUCAAAAGUUUACAUACAUUUCCUGAAGUUCAAGUAGCAUUUCCUUUGAACUGCAUGAAUCGGGUCAUAAAGUUUGGGUAACCUUCAAGCUUCUAACAGAAAUCUGCUGGAAUCCUGGCCCAUUCCUCUUGAGAGAACUGAUGUAACUGAGUCAGGUUUAUUUGGUGGCCUUGCUCGCACACGGCUUUUCAGAUCUGCCCACAGAUUUGUGAUGGGAUUAAGAUCAGGCAUUGACUUUAUCCUCAAGCCACUUUUUAAUCAUUUUGGCAGUAUCCUGAGGGUCAUUGCCCAUUUGCGCCCAAGUUUUAGCUUCAGAGGUGAUGUCUUGAGAUGUUGCCUCAAUAUGUGUGUAAUAUUCUUCCUACAUGAUGCUGUCUAUUUUAUGAAGAGCUCAAUUUCCUGCUGCAGCAAAACAGCCCCACAACAUGAUACUGACACCUCCAUGCUUCACAGUUGGUAUGGUGUUCUCAGGUCUACAAGCUUCCCCCCUAUUUCCUUCAGAUAUAACAUUGGUCAUUAUGGCCAAACAGCUCCAAUUUAGUUUCAUCAGACCACAGGACAUGUCUCCAGAAGUUAAGCACUUUGUCUUGAUGUCUUUUUGCAAACUGUAUACUGUCCUUUUUAUAUUUAUUUAGGAUCAAUGGGUUCAUUCUUGAUGAGUGCCCUUUCAGCCCAUGUUGGUGCAGGAGUCAUUUCACUGUGGCGCAUGACACUUUCUAACCAACUUCAUCCAGCAUCUUUCCAAGGUCUUUAGCUUUUGUUCUGGGGUUGAUUCCCACGGGUCCGACGCAGGCGCUCAUCAUUUUCCAUGAAUGUUGUCAUGGUGGGAUAUUCCCAUGAUGUUUACACUUACAUACAAUUGUUUAAACAGAUUAACGUGGCACCUUCAAGCAUCUAGAAACUGCACCCAAGAAUGAGCCAGAAUUGUGGAGCUCCACGAUUCUUUCUGUCAUUCCAUUGACGAUUAAUUUUAAUUUCCCCAUAAUUUCAAACAAGGACGCAGUGUUUGAGAUGUGGCCUUAUCUACAUACACACGUCUGCUAUCAAUUAACUCACACGUUGUGAUUUAACCUAUCAGGACCUUCCAAAGCCAUGACCUCAUCCUCUGGGCUUCCCCAUGUUAUUUAAGGAUAUACUACUUUUUGUGUAUGUAAACUUUUGACCUCAAAGAAAAUGUGAAUUUCUCUCUCUCAUUAUUGUGGCAUUUAACAGAAUUAAAUAAUUUGGGUGAUCCUGACUGACCUGAAAUUUAUUUGACUUAAGACAUCCAUCCGUUCAUCCAUCCAUUUUCUCAGCCUCUUAUCCUCAUGAGGGUCGUGGGAGUUCUGGAGCCUAUCCCAGCUGUCAUCCGGCAGGAGGCAGGCUAGACCCUGAUCUUGUUGCCAGCCAAACGCAGAGCACAUGGAAACAAACACCCAAACUCACAAUCACACCCAGGACAAUGUAGAUUGUCCAAUUAACUUGUUUUUUUUGAUGCAUCAGGAAACCAGAGUGCCCAGAGAAAACCCAUGCAGGUCGAGGGAGAACAUGCAAACUCCACACAGGCAGAGCUGGGAUUGAACCCUGGUCCCUGGAACUGUGAGGCCAACACUUUACAGCUGCUCCACGAUGCCGCCUGAUUUUAGUGAGACAAAAAAAUCAAAAGUUUUUGCACAGUGUAUAUCAACCUCUGCGUUGAACUGUACCUCUGCUUACCUUAUCUUUAUGUGGUGUCCCUGCAGUCAAAUGUCCUGACUCACUAACUGUGAAGUCAUGGGUGUAGAAUCUGUGUGGGUGCAUUUGUAUGUAAAUUUGCCAUGCUGCUGCAUUACAUAUUCGAAAUUCAGAGAGGUUCGUUUAUAGGCAUGGUUAAAGGAGAAGUCCAGUCGUUUGGAUUAACGAUGUAUCCUAUAGGUCAUGUCAUAUGUACUUGUACCUUGAAAAUUUGAGGUUAAUCCACUAUCAUUUAAUAGUAUUUUAAGAUUUUUAUUGGCAAUUGUGAAUUUUCAAGUAUGCCGCCAUUUUGGCGAGUCACAUGACCUACAUGCGCGGAUGUGACGUAUUACAUGCGAAAUCAUCACCGGUUUGUAGUGUCUUCACAUGCCGUACCACCACGACCGGACACUGUAAAAUACCUUACUGUAUCGUGAAAUUUUGCCAUAAUUCAGAUAGAAAUAAUCCGCCGGGUUAGAAAAAGAACCAUUUAAGGACAGGAAACCGGAGUGCCUGGAGAAAACCUAUGCAGGCACGGGUUUGAACAUGUAAACGCCACUUUUCCACACACACAGUCACAAAACACCACAAAACUCUAACCUUCGUCCUCAUAACUGUAAGGCCAACAACGCUUUACCACCUGAGCUACCAUGCGGCUGUUGUAGUAUUAACUUCCACCAAGCCAAAGAUCAUUUCAUUAUCACUUGGACCCCGGCGACCCUAUUAGCUAAAACAACUUUUCCCACAAUAUAAGGCCUACUUUUCACUGAUGGGUUCUACUAUCCUUCAUGGCCACGAGUGCUGUCCUCGGUGCAGUCCUCCGCUGGCUGGCCAAAGUGCAUUCCAAAAUCGAUAAGAUGGAUGAAUGCUGUAUCCCGCGCGUCGGCCUCCGCGUAGUCAAACUCGCGUGAUUUCCGUCCAAAGAAACAGAAAUAUUCAACGUUAUUUACAGCCACAGGUUCAAAUGUGUAUGGACGUAUUCCUCUGUCUUCCCGAACAAUCAAUACUGGAUUUCUUCAUGAGAUGAUGAAAAAUCCAAAAAAUCAGCACUGGCCAUAAUUGUUUCCCAACGAAAGUGAGCCUUUUUUGGGGCAUGUAAUGCGUCACAUCCGCGCACGUAGGUCAUGUGACUCUCCAAAAUGGCGGUGCCCAUGAAAAUUCGUAAUUGCCAAUAAAAAUCUUCUCAAAACACCAUUAAAUUUACCUCAAAUUUUCAAGGUAAAGUACAUAUGACGUGACCUAUUCGAUACAUUGUUAAUCCAAAUGACCGAACUUCUCGAAUUUCACAAUUGAUGAGUGGGUGAGGCCAAACUAUUUGCACACAACAAUUAAAAAUAUAAAUUUCCACUAUAUCCCCUUUAGUUUUUAAUCCAACCAAGACCUUUUGGACAAUUCCAGUUGAAACAAGAUGUUUAUAUACUCGGCAUGUAACGAUAUCUACAUGUCUACACAGCAAUCCCUUGUUUUUCGCAGUUAAUUGGGGACCAGAACUACCGUGAAAAGUGAAAACCCGCGAAGUAGCGGGGACAUAUGUUUAUGCGGGUACCAGAAUAAAAUAUUCAAACAGUAUUUGUGCUUUGCAUAUUUGAGACAAAAAGAGGUAUUUAGGUCAAUCUUUAAUUCUAAAACCUUAGAAAAAUACAGUAAUAUACAGGGCUGUGAAUUGAAGAGAAAAUCUGAGGAUUCUGGGCCCCAGACACCAAGCAACUUAAGACGUAAUAUGGUAUAUUCUGAGCAUUGGUCUCAAUAAGUAAAUAUUUUACUAGUGUUGGUGUACAUUUUUCCACAUAAAAUACCAAUUAAGUUUUGUCUUUUGAAUUGUUUAUUUUUGAUGGCAUCUCAACUGUGUCUGACCUAAAUUAAGUUACCCCUUGCUCCUGUGCCCUCCUUGAAAUCUCUAUUAAUUGCACUUGUAUUUCAUCUCUUAAUCAAAAAGAAAGUAAAACAUUUUAAAUUCAAUGAAAUGUUUAUAAAACAAAACUUCAUUUCAAAAUGGCUGUAAAAAAUCAUGCUCAAUAUUAAAGUGAGAAAUACCUGUUCCAAAUAACACUUUAUUCUUUUAUAAUGUCCUGUUAUCAAUGGCUUGUUCCAGGAAAAUGCCACAAUAUCUCUUGUUAAAAGUGAAAAAAACCUAAUGUCUCUGAUCUAUUAUACUAUUUACAUUUAUUCUUUUCUUCUGGCUCUUUCAAUUCCUCACUGCAUCACUGCCAGCUAUUUUUUCAAUUCAGCUUUCAUUAAUACUAUCUAUUAGUUGCUAGUUCUAUAGUAUUUGCAUUUUUCUUAAGUAUUUACAAUGUCUGUCAAUGUUUUUUCAUGUUCUUUUUAACACCAUCUCCUUCAUUUUUGCAAUCUUGCUCUUUUUCGUCUUUUCCUUCAGCUGGUCUGUGUGCUCUUUCCUUGCCCUCUUUGCGUCUCUCUCCAACAUCUCCUUCGCUUUCCUUUUUGAUGGCAUCUUAACUUUGUCUCACUAAGCACCCUGCUCCUGUGCCCUCUAAGUCUUGCCUUCUCCACUUUCUCUUCAUUGUAGGCCUUUUAUGAUGUCCUCAGAUUUUGGCGUAUUUUGAUGUCAAUUGGUUCAUGAAGGAAGUCCUUCUUCUUGAAUAAAUCAACAGCUGACUUCUGGUGCUGCAGAAUGUAGUAUUUCACCGUCUGUAGAGCGCUCAGUCUGCUGACAUUCAUACUUGGUGACCUAGAAUCCAUUAUGUCACCCAUUAAACUGAAUGCAGCUUCAACUCAUAGAAGUGGCUACGCACAGCCUUCACCAUCUUGAGAAGGUGGGGCGACUUUCCCUUUGCAUAAACAGCUGGCCACCAAUCGUCAACUCUCCCAGACUCCCAGACAACUAUCUUUGAGGUAGGCUCUGACCUCCAUGUCAUCGCUGUGAACGUCUGCACUGGACAAAACAUUUCGGACCAUUUUGGUAGACGGUGAAGACACUGUAAAACAACAUUGUGACCACAGAUGACUGGAUCCACAGCUGAGAAUGUUUGCAGUACUUCACUCUUCAGCGGCAUGGUUUUUUUGCAUGUACUGUCCACACUACAUCUGCUGACUUUGCCUUCUGGACAGUGGAGUCAUCGUUUCUGCAACCCUUAGCGAUCUUUCUUGUAGGUGUUCCCAUGAACAUAUCUUUACCUUUCAAAAUAUUACCUGCAUUGCUCUGGUUAAGCUUCUGGAUAUUCUUUGGCUCCGGACUCUGCAGACACUGGUUUGACAAAACAUGACACAAAUUCUGUAAGGAGAUCAACUUGCUUAUCAUGAAGCUUGUGGAUCAUAGGCUGCUUCAUUUCAAAGAACAACAUGCUUCUUUAAUAAAGGCAGGACAGAGAUGUAGAAAUGGCGAAAGAGCCUUGUAUAGGUUUUAUGAUGAGACAAGCGCUUGAUGAUAUGAUGUUUCCUCUCUUUCCCAUCUUGCAUCAUGUUCUUCUUCUCCAGAAUAAUGUGAAUGGUAUGGAUAGUGCUUCUGCCAAGAGGACUUUGUCUUCCUAUGACAGAAAUGAAUAAUAAAAUAAAACCAGAGCAUCUGACAGAUGCACAUGAUCCAAAGCCACCAAGUCUGUGUGCAAGGUGUCCACCUGAAUUACACUAAAUGAUGAAAAGUGACUGAGAACUACUUGCUUUGCGCUGGGAGAGAAGUAGCUCACGAGUAUAGCUAGAACUCUCUUGUUGUUGUGUGAUGUUGCCUCAUCUAUGUUGAAUGAAAAAUGGCAGGUUUCCGGAUCACUUAUUAGAGCAUCAGCCAUAGUUUUUUGCCAAACCUUACUUUAUAAGCUGCAGAGGUUCUGUCCAUCGACAGUGUUCAAUGCCUUCUUAUCAACAGCAGCAGCUUUCAUCAAUUCAAGGAUCCUUGGCACCAUAGAAAGAGAAAGCGAGUGUUCAGCGAUGAAUCCUAAUACCAAUCUCAAUGCGGAGGAGUAGCAGCUCGACACUGAGCCCUUCCCGGAUGACCGUGCUUCUCACCCUAUCUCUAAGGGAGAGCUUGGACCACCUGCAGAGGAAACUCAUUUAUGCCGCUUGUAUCGGGAUCUUGUUCUUUCGGUCACGACCCACAGCUCAUGCCCAUUGGUGAGGGUAGGAAUAUAGAUCGACUGGUAAAUUGAGAGCUUCGCCUUUCGACUAAGCUCCCUUUUCACCACAACGGACCAAUACAAACUCUGCAUCAAUGCAGACGCUUCACCGAUCCGUCUGUCAAUCUCCCGCUCCAUUGUUCCCUCACUCGUGAACAAGACCCCAAGAUACUUGAACUCUUCCACUUGGGGAAGGAUCUCAUCCCGGACCUGGAGAAGGCACGCCACUCUUUUCCGACUGAGGACCAAAAUUCUCAGAUUUGGAGGUGCUGAUUCUCAUCCCAGCCGCUUCACACUCGGCUGCAAAUCACGCCACUGAGAGCUGGUGAUCACGGCUUGAUGAAGCCAACAGAACCACAUCAUCCCCAAAGAACAGAGAUGCGAUGCUGAGGCUACCAAACCGGACACCCUCUACGCCUCAGCUGCGCCGAGAAAUUCUGUCCAUAAAUGUUAUGAACAAAAUCGGUGACAAAGGCCAGCAUUGGUGGAGUCCAACUCUCACCGGAAAUGAGUCCGACUUAUUCCCGACAAUGCGGACCAAACUCUGACAGCUGUCGUACAGGGACCGGACAGCUCGUAUUAGGGGAUUUGGUACCCCAUACUCCCGAAGAACCCCCCACAGGACUCCCUGAGGGACAGGGUCGAAUGCCUUCUCCAAGUCCACAAAACACGUGUAGACUGGUUGGGGGAACUCCCAUGCACCCUCAAGGAUCCUGCCGAGGGUGGAGAGCUGGUCUACCGUUCCACGGCCUGAAUCCGAGACUCGACUUCCCGACGGACCCUCCUCUCCAGUACCCCUGAGUAGACCUUACCAGGGAGGCUGACAAGUGUGAUCCCUCUAUAGUCUGAACACACCCUCCGGUCACCCUUCUUGAAAAGGGGGACCAUCACCCCAGUCUGCCAAUCCAGAGGCACCAUCCCCGAUCUCCAUGCAAUGUUGCAGAGGUGUGUCAACCAGGGCAGCCCCACAACAUCCAGAGCCUUUAGGAACUCUGGGCGAAUCACAUCCACCCCUGGGGCCCUGCCACCAAGGAGCUUUUUAACUACCUAUGUGACCUCAACCCCAGAGAUAGAAGAACCCGCCUCAGAACGCCCAGACUCACCUUCCUCGUGGGAAGGCAUGUUGGUGGAAUUGAGGUCUUCAAAGUAUUCUCCCCACCGACUCACAACAUCCCGAGUUGUCAGCAGUGCCCUGUCCCCACUAUACACUGUGUUUACGGUGCACUGCUUCCCCCUCCUGAGACGCCGGAUGGUGGACCAGAAUUUCCUCUAAACCGUCCUGAAGUCGUUCUCCGUGGCCUCACCGAACUCCUCCCACGCCCGGGUUUUUCCCUCAGCGACCACCGAAGCUGCAUUCUGAUUGGCCAGCCGAUACCUAUCAGCUGCCUCAGGAGUCCCACAGGCCAGAAAUGCCUGAUAGGACUCCUUCUUCAGCUUGACAGCAUCCCUCACUGUUGGUGUCCACCAACAUGUUCGUGGGUUACCGCCACGACAGGCACCGACCACCUGACGGCCACAGCUCCGGUCGGCCGCCUCAGCAAUGGAGGUGCAGAACAUCGUCCACUCGGAUUCAAUGUCCCCCACCUCCUCUAGGACGUGAGCAAAGUUCUUUCGGAGGUGGGAGUUGAAAUUCCUUCUGACAGGGGAAUCUGCCAGCCGUUCCCAGCAGACCCCCACAAUACACUUGGGCCUGCCACGUCGUACUGGCAUCCUCCCCCACCAUCGGAGCCAACUCAACACCAGGUGGUUAUCAGUUGACAGCUCCGCCCCUCUCUUCACCCGAGUGUCCAACAGGACCACAAAGUCGAUCAUCGAACUGCGCCCUCGGGUGUCUUGGUGCCAAGUAGACGUGUGAACACCUUUAUGCCUGAACAUUGUGUUUGUUAUGGACAAUCCGUGAUGAGCACAGAAGUCCAGUAAUAGAACACCACUCGAGUUCUGAUCGGGGGGGCCGUUCUUCCCAAUCACGCCCGUCCAGGUCUCACUGUCAAUGCCCACGUGGGCUUUGAAGUCCCCCAGCAGAAUGAUGGAGUCGCCAGAGGGAGCGCUCUCCAGCACUCCCUCGAAAGCAGGGGUGGGCAAACUUUAUGGUUUGGGGGCCACAUUGACUUUUAAAAUUUGACAGACGGGCCGGGUCAGCACAACAUACAAUACAUAUUAAAAACUGCAUUUGUUAACAGUACAAAUCAAACAUAAACAGAAAAAAGCCUUGAAGUAUUAACAUACUUUUUAAUGAGAACAGUGUUGUUGAUCACCCAUUUUAGCCGGUGCAUCGACGUCUGGUGGUAUUUCUGUUGUAGCAAUUCUCAGAACAGAUCUGAGCUGUUCAUCACUCAUCUGGGAUCUGUGGGGUGCUUUGUUGGUUUUCAUCACACUAAAAGUCGGUUCACACACACAUAUGUAGAGCCAAAUAACACCAGCAUCCUCUGUGCCAUCUUCUGGAUGUUUGGAAAUUUGGCUGCACUUAAUGAAGCAUAAAACUCAUCCAGUUUCAGGGAAUUGAAUUUGUCCUUUAACACCAUGUCACAUUGAAGAUCAAUCAGUUACAACUGCAACUCCUUUGGCGCCGUUUCCGGGUCGUGUGAGAAAGGACAUGACACCAGCUGAAGUGCCAUGUCAAUUGUUACAAAAUCACAAAACCAACAGCAGAAUUCCUCAUGUAGGUCAUCCAGUGGUUUUCUAUACUUUUUCACAUGUCGCGGGGCCUCUUGUAACGUAGCCGGUGUGGGGAAAUGAGCAAAUGACUUGUCUCAAAUUUGCUUCGAAAAUAAAACCAGCUUGUUUUUGAAAGCUCUGUUUGCUUGCAUUUCAUGAACAAACUGGUGUUUCCCUUGUAGCUUCACAUUCAGCUCGUUCAUGUGUCUCAGUAUGUCCACACUAAAAGCUAAGUCACAAAGCCAAUCUGUGUUGUUCAGCUCCGGAAAAUUGUCAGUAUUCUCAAGUAGCUCCAAAAAUGAAAUAAUGUCCUGUUUGAGCUCCCACACACGUUGACAUACUUUUCCCAAACUUAACCAGCGGAGAUUAGAAUGGUAAAGUAAGUCCGUGUGAUCAGCAUCAGUUUCUUCAAGAAAAUGAAUAAACUGACGAUGGUGAAGUCCCCUUGCUCGAAUAAAGUUAACGAGGUUCACAACCGGCUUCACUACGUGGUGAAGCUGCAACACAGAUUUAUACCGUGCUUCUACGUGAAUUAUGCAGUGUAGGAAAAUUACCUCCUGCUCAGGGUUGUCCUCUUUCACCCUGGCCUGAAUUCUCUUGAGCAUCCCAACGUUUUUUCCUGUCAGAUUUGGUGAUCCAUCUGUGGUAACGUUGGCGAGCGUACUCCACGAUAACUUGUGCUUCUGUAUGACCGCUGACACGCUGUUAAAUCAAUCCUCUCCACGUGUUUUUCCUUUCAGGGAUUCCAUAUCCAGAAACUCCUCCGUUAUCUCAAAAUUCUCAUUAAUCCUUCUGAUAAAGAUUUUAAGCUGAGCGGUGUCCUUUAUACCAUGGCUUUCGUCCAGUGCCAAAGAAUAUAAUGCAAAUGACUCCGCUUUUUUGUUUAGUUUGCUAGUUAAGUGUUUGUCAAUUACGUCAAUACAGCGAGUCACUGACCUGCGUGACAAGCAAAUUUUUUCGAACUUGUUCUUGCUCUCAGGACAUAAAAUACUUUGCCGUCUCUACCAUGCACUCUUUAAGAAACUCCCCUCCAGAGAAAGGCUUGCUUGCUUUUGCUAGUUUGAAUGCCAGUAAAUAACUUGUGUUCGUGCUUGCUUCUUGGAUGGAAGUUGCUCGAAUAAAGGUGUUUUGCUGAGCCUGCAAGCUAGCUACCAACCUGUCAGCGGUAGCCGUAAGUUUGUGUUGAAAGAUUGCUGGCGUAAUUAGCAUGCUUGGUGGUAAAGUGAUGGCUGAUGUUGUACUCUUUUAAAACUGCAACGGUUUCUUGGCAAAUAAGACAUACAGCCUUGGACCGGACUUUAGUGAAAAAGUACUGAGGUGUCCAUUCUUUGUUAAAAACCCGGCACUCACUGUCGACUUUUCUUUGACAUUGCUGUAGAUAGGUUCUGAUCUGACCAGUAGAAGCGAUAACUGGAGAUGGCUCGGGCUCCGUAAAAUCAAGACACUGCGCCUACUGCAUCACCUAAUGUUGAAAUGCCUGGUGCUACAAGUCAAAUUAAAUAAAUGCAAUCAUUCACAUCAAACCUUAAUUCUGUACAAAUCUUCGGCGGGCUGCAUGUGGCCCGUGGGCCGUAGUUUGCCCACCACUGCUCUAAAGACUCCAAAAAGGGUGAGUACUCUGCACUGCUGUUUGGUGCAUAAGCACAGACAACAGUCAUGACCUGCCCCCCUGCCUGCAGGCGGAGGGAGGCUACCCUCUCAUCCACUGUGGUAAACCCCAACAUACAGACCCCAAGCCGGGGGGCAUUAAGUAUAGGUAUAUUCCUAUUACCUCCUGCUCAGGGUUGUCCUCUUUCUGAAUUCUCUCUCUGUCCUGAAUUCUCUUGAGCAUCCCAACGUUUUUUUCCUGUCAGAUUUGGUGAUCCAUCUGUGGUAACGUUGGUGAGCGCACUCCACAGUAACUUGUGCACCUGCUCAGCGUCGCUCCCCAUGGGCAACCCCUCUCAAGAGUAGUGGUGCCAGAGCCCAAGUGGUGUGUAGAUAAAUAGUUUUCUGAAUGUAAAGUUGCUCGAUGAAAUGGAGGUGCGCUCACUGUCCAACAGAGUAAACAAGCAAAAGAGGAAUGAAUGGGACAGCAUAUGUGUGGUUGUCAAUGCUGCAGAUAGGGGUCGGGAACCUUUGGCUUGCGAGCCAUACCUGGCUCCUUUGAUGGUUGCAUAUGGAUCGCAGAGCCCUCAUAACAACAUACUGUACAUGUAAUUUCUGUUGCGUGGGCAACGCAAAUGCCACAGUGACAGUUUGUCCUAGUAGGGUAUUCGUAGUUUGAUGUCCAAUACGGCAAUCGAUGUGCGCAGGUGCAAAGGGGUCAAAUGCAGAUCGUGUCGGAACAACUAGUUGUGGAAACAUAUUUGACAAUGAUCAUUCUAAGACAAAACGAUCAGUCCCGCAGUAUUCGGCAAGAAUAGACAGAGGUGGUUGAGAGAGAAGGUUCUGCUGUGUUCCUAAAUUAGGACAAAAUUGCAACUCUCAAAUAUGAAGCGACACUUUGACAUGGGCCCUUCCAUCAGAAUAUUCUGCAGGGGCAGCAGGAAGAAAGCAAGUCAAGAGCUACUUUUCAGAGUCCAAGUUAGUCAGCAGCAAAUCAGUGUUAACCCUAACCCAACAAGGUUAAUGGAAUUCAGAUAGCUCUGCUUGCGCUUUAGCAAUUGUGAGAAAUGGAAAGCCAUUCACAGAUGGGGAGUAUGCCAACGCAUUCGUAUUUGAUGUUGCCAAUAAACAUUUUGACAACUUCGCAUAAAGACAAAAUAAUAAAACGAAUAAAAGAGGUACCAAAUUGAAUUACGUUCACAAUUAAUGGAAGUCUCAAAGUCUGCAUGAAGCAUCAACUAACCUAUUAAACAUACUUUAAAGCCAUCAGCAAAACCAUGCAACACCAGAAGUCACAUUAAUGGUAAAAAGUACUUUUGUCAUCAUUGGUUAGCAACAGCCUAACAAUGUUAUUUAAAAGAAUUCAGAGACUUAUUGUAUUCUAAAAGUUCUGGUCUUACAUAAAACGCGCAAAUAUACCUGUAUUUAGUUUUUAAAACAUUAUAUGGUUCUUUUGAAAUUAAAUUUAAAAGUCGAAAAGGAUCCCGACCCCUGCUGUAGAGACAGAAUAGCGGACACAUGCUGAGCUACAAAAUAAACGGUCAAACAAGAAGGUAGACGUGAAACAGAAAACCACUGCCCACCACCAAAGUGUAGCCAAAACAGGCAGAAGAACCGUAAUUAAGGAUGACACUCCUCUCAUGUGGCUGAGUCUGAUUACCCCAAGGUAAAUACCAUGUAUGCCCUAUGAGAGAGGUUCUUGCAUAAAUGUAUGUAGAGUAUAUGUAAUAAAUUCCAAUGAAUUCAAAUAAAGCACAUCAUAUCGAAGGAUAUAAAAAAUGUUCAAUUAUGCUUAAUUAAGCAAUUAUUUUUUAUACACAGUAGAGGAGACGCAGUUCCAGCCACAUGCUACAUGUUCGUUGGAUGCGUCCACCGUCUCUGGUCUGUCACAGAUGUGGAGGAUUCCUCCAGUUGGAAAAAAAAAAAAGCCUUUGAAUUUACUUCAUUUGAAGAUGUCUAUCAGUUGUGCAUAAUUACAAUGAUGACAAUGUAUCCCUCUUCAAAAAGGAAAAAGUAAUUUGAACCGAUUUUAAUCAUUUGAGGUACAUGUUCUAAUUAAAUUCAAACGAUUAUUUUUUUCAGUGCUUUCAUCACUGUGUAAUUUAUGUGGAGGAGUCAUCCUCAGGGUAUCUGACGCAAUUACACUCUAACAAUCGGCUGCUGCUGCCAGCCCAACUGGCUGUGUCCUUGCUGUGCUGGAAUCACAAGAGGAAAUUGUGAGGCCAAUUAGCAGCAUAAAUGAUCGCCUUGAUCAAUUUUUAGGCAUUCUCACAAAUAUCAGUGAUUUGUUAAAUAAACUGGUUAAAAAGUGGAUUCCAAGGCCUUGCCUAUUUACAUCAAUGAAAUCAAAUUUCAGGCAAUACCUCAUCAGUGCUAAAUGGUCAUGUGUCUCAGAUGUAUUAUAAGUUUUCCAGCAUCACCUCUCAAUAUUGCCAAAGCACCAACAACUGUUGAAGCGUGCGUACACCAGCAAUGAAAUUAACUUGAUGUACGGACAUUUUUAUUUCUGUCUUGAUACAUCUGAACUUUGCCAUGAAAAAGAAUGUGAGCUACAUUUUUUGUGGGUACGUACAUUUGUACCCGAGGCCCCUGGAGUGGCUUCCCUGGUCUCUAGAUCUCAACACCAAUGUAAUCUUUGGUGGCAGUUGAAAGUCUGUGUUGCCCAGCGACAGCCCCAAAACAUCACUCCUCUUGAGGAGAGGUGCACUGAUGAAUGGGCCAAAAUACUAGCAAGUGUUUGAAAACCUUCUAAAGACUAAAUAGAAAACAUUGACCUCUUUCAUUGCCAACUAAAGGUAAAACACAGGAAUGAGAUGACCUUUUGUUAUUGACCAAAUACUUAUUUUCCACCAAAAUUUGCUAAUAAUUUCUUGGGAUUUUCUGGAUUUUUUUACCCCAUAAUUUUUGUCUCUCAUAGGUGAGCUAUACCUGUGAUGAAAUUUACUUUCUUUUUAAGUGAGAAAACUACAGAAGUAAAUUAGUGCCACCAAGAUUUGAAUUUGAAUUUGAAAUGUAUUGUGAUCACAUUUUCAAUAGUUGUAUUUCAGUGUAACUUUUCAAUGUUAACAAUUCAACUGGCUACAAUUCACUGUCUGAAAUUCAACCAGCUACAAUUUGCUGUCAGAAAUUCAUCCGGCUACAAUUCACUGUCUAAAAUUCACCAAUCCAGUUACACUUUCUUAGAUGUGAUGUCACGUGACUAAGAAAGCAUAACUGCGAUUGGCUGGGUGUUCGGUUCUGACCUGAGGUAACCCUGCCUGGUGGCACAGACAGUGAAUUUUAGACAGAAAAUUCUAGCAAGUUGAAUUUCAGACCGUGAAUUGUAGCCAAUUGAAUUUCAGACAGCGAAUUGUAGCCACUUGAAUUGUUCACAUUGAAAAGUUAGACUGAAAUAUAACUAUUAAAAAUGUGAUCAUAAUACAUUUCAAAUUCAAAUCCUGGUGGCACUAUUUUACUUGCAUAGAAAAUGUGCAAAAUUAGUAGCUGAUGAAAUACUUUUUGCCCAACUGGAUAUACAAAUAUCUCAUUGGUUUUGUUCAAUCAGAUCAACUUACUGAACCAUGGCUUUUACAUACACAGAUAUUUUCACUUUUGAGGUUUAAAUAAUGUUAUAUAUAUAUAUAUAUAUAUAUAUAUCUUCAUACUCACUCAGAACAAGGAUGCAAGGUGACUUAACAUUCAAAUCAGAGGUACUUUUUUUGUCGGUCUACCGUUCAGUUUACAGUAAGCAAUGUAAUAUUUUUUCACAAACUAUUAACUUGGCGGCGGCACGGUGGCUCAGCUGGAAGGCAUUGGCCUCACAGUUCUGAGGUCCCGGGUUCAAUCCCAGACCCGCCUGUGUUCUCCCCGUGCCUACGUGGGUUUUCCUCGGGCACUCCGGUUUUCUCCCACAUUCCAAAAACAUGCAACAUUAAUUGGACACUCUAAAUUGUCCCUAGGUGUGAUUUUGAGUGUGGCUGUUUGUCUCUAUGUGCCCUGCGAUUGGCUGGCAACCAGUUCAGGGUGUACCCUGCCUCCUGUUCGUUGACAGCUGGGAUAGGCUCCAGGACUCCCGUGACCCUUGUGAGGAUAAGCGGCUAAGAAAAUGGAUGGAUGGAUGGAUAUUAACUUGGCAUAAAACCUUGACCUGUACGACUAACUAAUCAUUUUUAGUUUGAUAUGCAAAAUUUAAUUUGUUGGAUUUUUUUUGUUUGUUUUAUUAACCCAGUGUUAGUUGUAUUAUUUUUAGCUAUCAUUUUACUUGCUCAUCAAUUUUUAAUUUGUUAGAAUUAUGAUGGGGGAAGGGGGUCCUUGGAGCCACUGUUUGGAGUCCCUGGCUGGCUGUGCCCACAGUUUGUAAAUGACAUUUCUAAACAGUCAAAUACAAAUGGCUAGAAACAAAGCACUGUCAGGUUUCCAUGAGGGAAACCUUUUAGGAAUAGUGUCAAUAAUAAAUAGAGGACUAAAUAAGUGAACAAACCUACCUCUUUGUAAUAUCACAAGGCAUGGAAACACCGUAAUAGUAAUUGUCGCUCUUUCUCUUUUCCCUGACUAUAAGGUUCCUUCUCUUAUUCUUUCAAAGGCUACAAAAAAUUCACACACACACAUACUACAAAAACAAAGGUAGCAUUCUGGUAUCUGUAAACUAAAUAACAUAUAUAAGAAUUGCAUGCAUGUUUCCUGGAACUAUUGUAGAACAAAUAUACAACUUGUAAAGGUUACAGUGCAUGCAAACUGGUUAUUUUCUAGUAUCAAUACAGUCAAUUGAUUUCCUUCAAAAUUGAUUUAAACCAAUGUAUUUUCAUCCAGAACGCUAACUUGCCAUGCGCAGAUCAAUCCAGUUUGAUCGUAGGUAAAUAAAUCAAUCCAUGUAAUGAAUGAAUCAAAUCACAUUCAAUGUUUCAGUAAAUCCAUGCCUGUUAUGUACAAUAUAUAUUAUAGAUAUUUUUCCUCUCACAGUUUCAUAUAAAGUCAGACUAAACUUUUCCUUUAGGAUGAUCAAUUAGGAUUACCAAAAUUUGAAUUUGCUACAUGCUAGAAUGAGCGUUUUUUUUUUUUUCCCCCAAUUAAUUUAUUACGUUCUUCAAAGUCAGAGGUUUGGAUGCAGUAACACUACCAUCCCUUUAAACAAUCUGGGAGAACACUGUCGAUGUCAUUUCUUUGGAGCCUUCUGAUAGUUUCACUGACAUUUGCGUUCGAGACACACCUAUGGAUCCAUUUUAACUCUGCACACAUGAAAUACACAUUUUUGCGUGUGUAUACAUCAUCAUGGGAAAUUCAUAACAACUCAACCAUGGUAUCAGGAAGAAAACUGUGGACCGGCACAUAUGUCCAGUUCCUCCUUUGAUGAGGAUGAUUCAUGUUGGGACAUUGGUCGGGAAACAAACAUACACUAGUUGUAAAACACAGCAGAAAGAUACACAACUACAUGACUAAUGCAUUAAUGUAUUAAAUACUUUGCUUUUUUUGUAUCAUGAGAUUUGUGUGCAAAUUGUAUGGCUUGAGGAUAAAUAAAUUGAUCAGUCAUCUCAUAAUUAAUAAAUCAGAAUGUAAUUGGAAAUCUAAACUGAACCUAUAGACAGAAGGAUUUCUCAGUGUAUGUAAGAUUACUUUUGCUGUUUGAUGCUAUAUUAUUGAACUACUUGUGUACCUACUACCUGCUGAUGCUGGUAAAAACAAGUGUGGAAUACUACACCACCCAUUUGUGAGUAUAUGCAAAUUUAACAACCAGGAACAAAACAUAAGACUAGACGACAAAUGUAAAUAUUUGUGUUAAUUUGAUUAUGCAGAAAUAAUGGGUUGAUAAAGGACAUGAUGAAUGAUGCACACCAUUCCUUCCAUUUUUAUGACGUUAAUAUGCAGAUUAUACAUAGGAGCUAAUUUUAACAAAAUGUUAUAUAUAUAUAUAUAUAUAUAUAUAUAUAUAUAUAUAUAUAUAUAUAAUUAUUUUUUUUAAACAAGCUGUUUAAAAAAAUAAAUGGAAUCUUUUAUUUUGUUAUAAAAUAUAUUUCACUCAGCUGAGUGUAAAGGAUUCAAAUACAUCUAUGAAAGCAAUUAGCCAAACUAUAAUUUACAAAUAAAUACUUGAAUUCUGAGAUUUUUAGCAUUUUUGCUUUAAAAAAUAAAUAAAAAUGUAUGGAAAUAUUUUUUUUCAAAGCAGGCCAGUGGUUAGUGAUGUCAUGUCACAGCAAGCAUGUUGCAACCGUGUUCUGGGUUUGAGCCAGUUCACUUGCUUGUGGUCUUUUCUGCAACUGCUUGGAUGGCUUCUACCCAACUGUUUGAGAUGACCUGACAAUGAAAGGGAUGAAUGUUUCUACUCAUCGGAGUGCCAUUCAAGAUUAUAUUAAGGAAGGGGGUGAGUCGCAAAUAAUCAAGUUAAUGUAAUUCUGUUCAAACUCGUUAUAAGUUCAAGUAUAAACUUUUCAUUCUAAAUCAUAAGUGUUAUUUGAAACCGAUUCAAAUUACAUCAUCAAGUCUGUUUCAGUGGAUGUCCUCAGCAUAAAGGAUAAUUGGGUCGUUUUCAGAUUUGAUUAAUAAUGGGAAAAGGACUUGUUGAAAAAAAAUAUAAUUUAGCAUUUCUUAUGCCACCUUGGUUUUAUAAAUUUCUCCCAUGCUGAAUCAUCCUUCCUUAGUCGUAUUUUAAAGAAGUUAUUAAUGAUUUAAUGUCUUGGGGAUUCCUAGUAAAGGCAAUCCUAAUUGACAGCAAAUAGUGAUAACCCAUUGGAAUAAACUUUUUUUUUUAACAAGUCAAAAAUUCAUAAUAGUUCAAACAAACACCUUGAUUAAAAUUGUGAAUUACACAAUGUGCUGCCAUUCAAACUGUGAAUUCAGGUCUUUAAAUCACCCUCACAACUCAUGAAACCCAUUUGACCCUCCUCUGUAUAGAGUUGGAAUAAUGGGAAAGAUAUACAAAAGUCACUUUCACAAGUUCAAACAUUUCUUCGAAAUUUAUUUUGCUGUCUACUAUUCUUUGAACGCAAAAUGUCUGCCUCAUCCUGCUUUUUCAGUUCAGAGAUCCUUCUGGUGUCUUGCAAGAACAUCAUGAAACUAUUUUCACUGGCAGUAUCAGUAAAGACUGCAGAUGGCAAAUAAGUACUGUUUUUAACAAAACUAAAAACUCUUCAAAAAAAAAAAAAAGAUUUGUGUUAGGAAAAGGUGUAGAAAGCAACAACAGAAAAAUUCUACACAGUAUCCAACAAAAGUAUUGGAACAGCAGGUUCAAUUCCUUUGUUUUAGUUGAAGUAUGGAGACAUUUGCGGUUUCAGAGCAAAAGAAAACGUGAGACACAACACCUUUUGUUAGGACCCACACACUUUUCAAGUGAUCAAAGUAUCAGACCAAACAUUAUUAACUUAGUCAAUAACAUAAUUAAUUAAUUAUUAAAUAAUAAUAAUAACAAUAUUUGGUGGCAUAACCCAUACUUGCAAUAACAGCAUCACCAUAAUGUUAUAUUCGUCAUUUUAAAUGGUUUUCUAUGCCUUUACUGCAGAAUCUUUCAGUUGUUGUUUAUUUAUGACUGUUUCUCCCUUCAGUCUCCUCUUCAGUAGUUAAAAUGCAUGGUCUUUUGGGUCAUGGUCUGGUGACUGACUUGUCCAGUCCAAGACCUUCCACUUUUCCAACCUGGUUUUAAUAUGUUGGCAGUGUGUUUUUGGUCAUUGUCUUGUUGCAUAAUGAAGCUUCUCUCGGUUGUAUUUUUCUUUAAAUUGCCAGAAAAAAAUGUUUUUGUAGAUUUUGGAAUGCAUUCUCCUGCUACUAUCAUGAGUUACAUUGAUUAAAGAUUAGUGAGCCUGUUCCAGGAGUAGUCAUGCAAGAACUCCACCUUGCUUUACAGAUGAGCUCGUUUGUUUUGGAUCAUAAGCAGAUUAUUUCUUUCACCAAGUUUGGCCUUUCCAUUACUUUGGUAGAGGUUAUUCUAGGGAUGAUUAGCUCAUAAAACCUGUUCCAAAACUUUUGUCUCACAUCUCUGUACUUCUUGUCAAAAUCUAAUCUGACCAUCUUUUUUUGCUGAUGAGUCAUUUGGAUCUUGUGGUGUGACAAAGUUUGCAAACAGUGGACUAAUACCUUCACCCCUAACUUGUGGAGGUUGGCAGUGUUGUAAUUGACUGUUACUUUGCGAGUUACUUCACAGCUGUCCAAUGUUUCUGUCACCAACUGCUGUUGAUGCCCUUACCUGACCUGUUCUGUCUGUUGCUUAGUACAGCAGUAGUUUCUUUUUCAGGACAUUCCACGUUGUUGUACUGUAUUGUCUCUACCAAAAUGUUUGUGCAAUAACUGAUUGAUUUUCUCACUUAGCUUCAAAAUGCUUUGCUUUUCUCCCACGGAAAGCUUUCUGAUCUUCAUGUUUGCUUAACUGCUGAAACCUAAAGCCUAAAAAUAAGGAUAUAAUGUUUGCGCUAUCUAUCUAAAAGGCAAAAUCUGAGCAACUAGAAACGCUCAUCAGUCAUGUUCCAAUAACUUUUGCUCACUUGAAAAGUAAGGGUGUUAAAAAAAAAGUGAUCUGUCCUGAGUUGUUUAACACAUCCAUCUAUACAUUUUCUGAGCCGCUUAUCCUCACAAGGGUUGCGGGAGUGCUGGACCCUAUCCCAGCUGUCAACGGGCAGGAGGCAGAGUACAUCCUGAACUAGUUGCCAGCCAAUCGCAGGGCAUUCACACGUUUUUGGGAUGUGGGAGGAAAUCAGAGUCCCCGUAGACAACCCACGCAGGCAUGGGGAGAACAUGCAAACGCCACAGAGUGGGUUCUGACAUUUGAACCACAGUCUUGAGAACUGUGAGGCCAAUGCUCCAACCAGUUGCCCACUAUGCCGCUUUAACACUUCUAGCUAUAAAUACCAUGAAAUAAAUGUUGGAAUUCAAAAUCUUUGCCUCUGAGAUACGAAAUACUAAUAGAUACUGUAACCCUCACUAAGAUAAACCAAUAAUAAAUCAUGUACAGUGGAUUCAGUACUGUCUGUAUCUUUGGGUUUCUUACUUUCUUCUGUCACCUUUAUGAUUGGGACAUAGAUUAUGUAAUACUAGUUUUAAGGGCUCUCAAACCUGUAGCUAGAGAUAGAAUGUUUGAAUUGUUUUGACCUUGGGUGCCUGAUCAUGUACAUGAAAUACAUCUGAAACCAAGGAUGAAUUAUUGAUGUGCUAAGCUUUUUUGUUUGUUUGUAUGUUUUGUUAUUGUUUUGGUGGUUUACCUCUUGGUGAUUUCAGUGGUGUACAUCAAUUUCCACCAAGGGCAAAUCAUAACAAUUGAUCAUUACAUUCAUUUGUGCUCUUUUUCUCAUCUUAAUCAUAUUGAACGACUUAUGCAUGCAUGUCUUGUACCUGCUUCUGCACUGGUACUGUAUGUACAAAACAUUAUAUCAUCCAUUGUUCUUUUCUUGAAUACUCACACGGGUCUUUUUUAUGUGGUUUGUCCUAAGUUACAUUUAAACAUUAUAUUGUGGUGCUAUAUAUAUUUGAUAAUAAUGACUUGGUAUUCGAUCAUUCCGAUGAAAAUAAUGUAAGUUGAAAAUUUUCUGGAGUAAAAAUUAUAUUUUGGAUACAAGUAUGAAAAUUAAUGUGCAAAUGUGAGAGACAAGGUACAGAAUAAAAUUACAGUUUCAGGUUUGUAUGUCUUUUUGAUAGUUAUUAGUUCUCAUGAUAAAUUUGUUUUGGGAUUAAGCUUGGAUUGUAAAUAAAGCAUAAUGUAUGGAUCAUCAUAUUGAUUGCAAUUGUGUUUUCACGCAUUACAAACUUCCGCAUGGAUGUUUAUGUUGUGAUUUUUUUUUGUAAGAUUUGCCUUUUGCAUUAAAUAAAAUACUGAAUAACAUUCA
Syngnathoides biaculeatus (alligator pipefish) is the source of this 22113-nucleotide long non-coding RNA. RefSeq lists it as uncharacterized. Lineage: Eukaryota; Metazoa; Chordata; Actinopteri; Syngnathiformes; Syngnathidae. The transcript has 2 exons. The record is from RefSeq and is a predicted model, not a curated record.